This 1028-nucleotide long non-coding RNA is filed under the name Bos indicus x Bos taurus (hybrid cattle). RNAcentral's name for it is "lncRNA (ENSBIXG00005022671.1)". Lineage: Eukaryota; Metazoa; Chordata; Mammalia; Artiodactyla; Bovidae. The record is from RNAcentral.
AGCAAGAGGGGGAUGUGGUCCCUUCUUCGACUCAUAGUGGGUCCUGGGAUGUCCCUGCUGAUCUCAGUCAACUGGCCUCACUCCUUGCCUCUCACUUCUCUCAGUAAACCAAGCAGGAAGAAUUUGGGAGCCCGAGCCUGACAGCCUUCCUGGAGCUGCUGAGGCAGACAGUGAGGGCACUCUGGGGCUCCUUCUUGUGUGCUGAGUGAUCCUCUCUGUCCUCUAUCCCUGCCUUCCUCUGACCGUAAUGCUGCUUUAUGUCCCGUCUGCUGACCUGAGGGCAAGACCUCACCUGGAAGAUGUCAAAUCCACAGACGCCUGGUGAGAAGUGCACCGGCAUCUCAUCUGGACGAUUCUGCCUAAGGCUUCCUGGAAAUGGCUGCUGCAGCAUGGGCUCGUGGGCCCCACAGGAACUCAUAACGUGGAGGAUCGCUGUUGGCAACCUGGCGGUACUCCAGGUACUUCAUCGUCACAAAGUCUUUGGUGAUGAGCUUCCUGGGCUCUCCGUAGAUGAAGUGUUUUCUCCCAGCAUAUACUCGCAUCAUAUUCAAGAAUUUCCAGAUAUCUUCCUCAGCGGCACAGUUGCCCUUCACGAAGACCACACCCAGAACUGUCAUCAAGAGACCGGUCUUAGCUUCAUCUAGCCCAUCAUGCAUCUGGACUGAAAAUGACCUCCCACCGAGGAACUAGACGUUUCCCAAGACCCAAUGCCGCCUUAAUCAGGUAACUUCGACUUGCUUGCUCUCAUCUGGAACCUCCUCUUCCACACCUCCCCCAUUUAAAUUUAUGAUUUGUUUAUUCCUUAGAGUUAGCUCACCACCUUCCUUAUAUGGGACCUGCUGCUAGCCUCAAAAUUCCAUGGGCAGUGGCUUGGGCUUCAUUUUCUUACCCACCCAGUACUAUAAGACAGCCUUCUAAACAGAAGAUGGUCAAUUAAUUUGGGAGAAAAGGAAAUAAUGAGCAAAGAUUAUCUUUUAUUAUGAUUUAAGUGUCAUACAGUUUGAAUAAACUAAGCAAAUCUAGGUCCA